GAGCUGGCUUCAGCAGCACCUGUAUCAGAACUGGAAUGAUACACAGAGGAUGAGCAUGGCCCCCACACAAAGAUGACACGCAAAUCCGUGAAGUGGUUGUAGUUUUC
Molecule: small nuclear RNA, 107 nt
Organism: Capra hircus (goat)
Lineage: Eukaryota; Metazoa; Chordata; Mammalia; Artiodactyla; Bovidae
Source: Ensembl